UACGGAGGGGACUAGCGUUGUUCGGAAUUACUGGGCGUAAAGCGCCACGUGAGCGGAUUUGUAAGUCAGGGGUGAAAUCCCGGGGCUCAACCUCGGAACUGCCUUUGAUACUGCAAAUCUCGAGUCCGGAAGAGGUGAGUGGAAUUCCUAGUGUAGAGGUGAAAUUCGUAGAUAUUAGGAAGAACACCAGUGGCGAAGGCGGCUCACUGGUCCGGUACUGACGCUGAGGCGCGAAAGCGUGGGGAGCAAACAGG
RNAcentral lists this ribosomal RNA (254 nucleotides) under uncultured bacterium. Its description in RNAcentral is "partial 16S ribosomal RNA". It matches the Rfam family "Bacterial small subunit ribosomal RNA", at positions 524 to 776 of the family's 1533-position model. The record is from RNAcentral.